Gymnogyps californianus (California condor) is the source of this 605-nucleotide long non-coding RNA. RefSeq lists it as uncharacterized. NCBI's taxonomy places the organism in Eukaryota, Metazoa, Chordata, Aves, Accipitriformes, Cathartidae. The transcript has 3 exons. The record is from RefSeq and is a predicted model, not a curated record.
AGGAGGCGAAGGGUCAUGUGCUUUGUCCAGCUGGUACUCGCUGCAAGAUGUGCACUGAAGUUGCGUGAUGUGGUAGCAGCUGGAUGGCACAUUUUUCCUCCUGAAUGUAUCAGCUAAUAAACAGACUCAUCAUUUUGUUGAGACUGCUGUUGCUGCAGGACCUGAUAAACAAGGAAGCGUUCCGAUAUUGGAUUCUGUUGCUGUCAUUUUUGGGUUUUCCAGACAGAAUGUGGGACAACUGCAUUUCGAACUAGGAUGCCUCAGCUAAGUGCCUGUGCUUAGGCUGCCCGAGUUUCACAUUGGUGUCUCUGUUCUGGAGUUCGCCGUCUUGAAAAAUGGCAUCAUAGCUACUCUUCAUCUUACUGCAGGCGCUUGUGAAGAAAUCUAUUAUGAUUAUUAAUUUUGCAGUUGCACUUUCUGAUUUACUUUACUUGUUUAAAGGAAAACAAGUAAACAGAGAAGUCAUUAAAUAGUUGGAACGUUAAAAAUUUGCAGCCGUAACUGACAUUUAACAAGUACAUUGUGAGUGUUACAUGAGGACUUAAUCUUUUAUAUAGCACCUUGUUUUGAGGGAUAAUGUAGUGGUAUCAUUCGAUUAAAGGUUA